UGGGCCGACACUGGCCUAGAUGUCAACAUGGCAUAUCUUCCAAUCCUGCACGCAAAUCUCGCCUGCUGAUCUUCACCACUUCUCUGCCAUCACUUAAUGGAAUUUAUGAGCCGGAGACCCUUCAUCGCCCUUCCACAAAUGAACGUGAAACGGACAUAAUCUCAACAGUCAACCGCUUUCAUGGCCAUAAAAUUGUGGAAGAAACCGAAGUACAGUAGGCGUCAGCGGUCUUUGCCUUUAAAUACCUCUACUGAUUUCCAUUGUUUACCAGCGCAAGUACGCGCCCCUGCUCUACGUCGUUGGGCUCAAGUUUGGUGAAUUAUCUCUCUUAGCCUGGUGACUUUUGAAAUGAUCAAUUUGAUCACAUGAAAGUCUAGAAUUAUGGAAGGUAUUUGAUUUAAUCGCGCACUAACCAUUUAUCUGUCAGAUUACAAUCUCCAUCUCCAUCAGGCGUUGGGUACUAUCAGUGUUCAUCUCACGAUCUCACCCAUGGAGAAGCUGCUCCUACUCUCCCCUACAGAAUCUCUGGUUUUCUUAUGCAGCCGAAUCACUCCAGCCCGUUAGAUGUGUCUGACCAUCCAGCCAUAUAAACAUCACUGUAUGCUACCUUUACAAAGUUGCACGGUCAGCUUCUUCCCGUCCCGCUUUAUCUGCAAACUGCAGUUGCACAAGAAGCUCAAGGUAGUAUUGGGAUCUCAAGUAGUUAUUCUUUAAGAAGUACUCAUGGGAGCUUGUGGGGAGGUGCUCAAUUUCAGAAUUUCAAGCUACUUGGACUGUCGACUAAUUCCUCUCAUCUUGGUGCAAAUUUUCCUUCUGGAUAAUUUAUGAAAGGCUCCUGCUUGGAUUUGCUUUCGUGAUGUGAGCUAGAAGAACUACUUCUUUAAUUCUCCUUUUUCAGGAGCCAUAAAGAAUACAAUUGAUUUUUUU
Lolium rigidum is the source of this 927-nucleotide long non-coding RNA. RefSeq lists it as uncharacterized. The record is from RefSeq and is a predicted model, not a curated record. Lineage: Eukaryota; Viridiplantae; Streptophyta; Magnoliopsida; Poales; Poaceae. The transcript has 2 exons.